RNAcentral lists this unclassified non-coding RNA (334 nucleotides) under soil metagenome. Its description in RNAcentral is "partial contains 5.8S ribosomal RNA, internal transcribed spacer 2, and large subunit ribosomal RNA". The stretch from base 1 to 120 matches the Rfam family "5.8S ribosomal RNA", at positions 35 to 154 of the family's 154-position model. The record is from RNAcentral.
GAUGAAGAACGCAGCGAAAUGCGAUAUGUAAUGUGAAUUGCAGAAUUCAGUGAAUCAUCGAAUCUUUGAACGCACAUUGCGCCCCCCAGUAUUCUGGCGGGCAUGCCUGUUCGAGCGUCAUUUCAACCAUCAAGCCCUGCUUGUGUUGGGGUCCUGCGGCUGCCCGCAGGCCCUGAAAACCAGUGGCGGGCUCGCUAGUCACACCGAGCGCAGUAGCACAUCUCGCUCAGGGCGUGCGGCGGGCUCCAGCCGUUAAAGCACCCACCUUUCGCAAGGUUGACCUCGGAUCAGGUAGGAAUACCCGCUGAACUUAAGCAUAUCAAUAAGCGGAGGA